Molecule: ribosomal RNA, 274 nt
Filed under: uncultured bacterium
Lineage: Bacteria
Description: partial 16S ribosomal RNA
Rfam family: Bacterial small subunit ribosomal RNA
Source: RNAcentral
AUACGGAGGGGGCAAGCGUUGUCCGGAUUUACUGGGCGUAAAGGGUGCGUAGGCGGUUUGUCAAGUCUUAUGUGAGAUCUCCCGGCUUAACUGGGAGGGGUCAUAGGAAACUGGCAGACUUGAGGGCAGUAGAGGAGAGCGGAAUUCCUGGAGUAGCGGUGAUAUGCGUAGAUACCAGGAGGAACACCAGAGGCGAAAGCGGCUCUCUGGGCUGUACCUGACGCUGAGGCACGAAAGCGUGGGGAGCAAACCGGAUUAGAAACCCCUGUAGUCC